UUCACCGAAUACCUCGACGCCGCGGAGGGCGGUUGGCUGUGGUCCGACCCGGAACGGUCCGGGUCGAUCGCCUCGGCCAUGGUGCGU
RNAcentral lists this transfer RNA (87 nucleotides) under Rhizobacter gummiphilus. RNAcentral's name for it is "tRNA-His". Lineage: Bacteria; Pseudomonadati; Pseudomonadota; Betaproteobacteria; Burkholderiales; Sphaerotilaceae. The record is from RNAcentral.